CUGAAAAUUUGAUAACCAUAACCAUCUUCAGAAUUUUUUAUAAAAGUUUCUUUUUCAUUAUUUGGAGACUUGUUUUUAUAUAAAAAAACAUUCAAAAGAUUUGAGGACCAAGACUAAUUUUUCCUUGAGCUUUGCCUAAAUCUGAUUCUGCAUAUCAUAACAAAAGUUUAGAUUUUCAGUCAUGUGGUUCUUUGUUCUUGCUAAUUUUUUUUUGAAACUUUGUUCUUUGUUAACCACAUCAUGGCACUCUACUGGUUUCCAAUGAACAAAGAGCCGCUAUGUUGAUUUAGACCAGAGAUCGAUUCUCUUCUAAUGCGAAAUUGAUAAUUUUACUGUAACGACCCGGUUCACCCAAACCGGUGUGAUUCAUUUGUUAAUUAAUUGUACCAGACCAUUUCUUAAACCGUGCUAUAUAUGCAUGUGUAUAUAUCUCCUUCUCAAACCUAAUAAAAAAACGCAUCGUGGGUUAGAGAGAGAGCCGUCACGUUUUAUCACCACCAGCGCCAAUCUCUAAGGAUGUGAUCGGUUCAUCACCGGAGUGUCAGCUUGCAUUGUCGCAUCACCGUGCCAGCACCAUCGGGACCGUUGCCGUGAUCACCGGAGUUUGAUCCAGCCACCAUUAUCAAGCCGUGUCCCACCACCGGAGUCAUCAUCUUCACUAUCAACACCGGAGCCGUCGUCAUGCCACUGUCAUAAUCUUGUUGCAAUAGAUCCAUCGAUAUUACCAUGCUUUUGUUCAAUAACGUGAACAGGCGGAGACUAAGAAAGAGAGUGAAACCAGAUCCGUCAGCGUCUCGACACUACCAACACCGAUCAACACCAUUAUGAACCGUGAGCCACCUGAGUCACAGCUUCCGUCGACGGAGUCCGAGAAGCUUAAGCCGUGAGGAUGCAAUCAUGCAACUUUAGUGUUACUUGUAUUUCAAGUAAUUAAUUCUAAAGUUGGACUGAGUCUUGUUGGACGAGAUCUUGGAUCAUUUUUGUGAUUCAUCUCCAAUUUUGGCUAAGGUGAGGGUCUUUUCCCGAGCUUCUCUUACACGGCUUAGGACCUCGAAUAAGUAUAAUUUAUUUCUAAUGUGUUUCCGUUUGCGUGAAAUUGAGUCUGUCAUUGUUUUGCUUAGUUUUAGGUUCUUUGCUUAACCGGAACUAGGGUGUUAGAUGAUUCAACAAUGUUUGUUCAUUUGUAAUUGAUAAUAUAUAUAUAUAUAUAUAUAGUAUAUUGAUGUGAUUUGGUUGAUAGCCGACUAUGGAUAUUUCGGCUGGAGACAGUACAUUGGGUGUGGUGUUUGCUGCGGCACAGCGUAGUCGACCUGUUGUGCCAAGGCGUGGAGGUCGAUAAAUCGUCUACGGGCGUGUGUUACCGAGCACAUAUUCGGUGGUGUUUUGGCCUGUUAGUGGGCAGCUUGUUUGAUCUCUGGGUACUUUAGGUACCGUGUUUUGCAACGUGUUAGGAUUAAAUUAUAUUUAUUCGGAGUGCUCUGUCCGGGUCCAUGGACUUCGGGUUUAGUAUCCCCAUACCUCACUGGGUAACUCACCUGUUACUCACCCCUCAUUUGCCCCAUGCAGGUGAGACUGACGAGUAUAUGAUAUUUGGAUGGAUUGGUGCUACUGGGCUUUAUUUCGGAUUUUUAUUUGGGCUUAGGGUGAGUGGAGUCAUGUAUAUGGGUUAUUAUGCUAUGAGAUAUUGUUGGUGGCACGCUGUUCUCCAGAUAGGAGGUGACGGGUGUUACAAUUUGGUAUCAGAGCGGGGUUCCGUCCCGGCCUCGACCCGGGAUGGCGAUUAGGGGAUUCGGUUUUCUACGUUUUCUUUUUAAAGUAUAAAAUACUUUAUAUAUAUAUAUAUAUAAUAAAAAAAAAAUGUUUGCGAAGUUCUUUUAGCACCAUUCGAUCCAGUAAUUACUAACUCAAUUGUCUCUUUCUAUGACGAUGAGAAAAAUCAUCGUCAUUCAUCCUUCGGCUAACAGGGUUCUACACAGAUGUUCAGCAGCAGAUGUGUGAUGUCUCAGUUCGUCAGUUGUCUCAGGAGUGUUAUCAGUUCCUUCGGUCAUGAUUCUGAGAUUAUCCAGGAGUGGAUAUGUGACGUUUCUGUUCCACCCUACUUCAAGCAAUCGUUCCACGAGUUUUUGAUACUGGAGAUUAUGUGGUGUGACGUAUGAGCCAUUGGUUGGCAUGUGUUGUUUUUGUGUACGAGUAUGUUGACUAUUUUGGAGGUAUGUUCAGUUUGUAAACUCGUGGGGAUCGCUUUUGGAUUGGGAGUGCGGCAGCUUGCGUUGUAUUAAUACUGGAGUUACGCUUGGUUUUGUAUGCUAGUUUUUGGCAUUGUUAAUCGUUUCAAAGAUGUUUCAGUUCAAACAGCUGACAUGGGAUGUGAGAGCUAUUUAUAUUCAUCGCAAUGUACCAGUUAUGUUCGGAGGACUGAUUUGUUCGGAGACUCUUCAGAGAUGGAGCUACGUUUUUACGAUGUUAUCCAUGGGAUGGAUUGGCUACCAUGACAACGAGUAGAGUUGGAUUGCCUGAGGACAAGAGUUGAUAUUGCUGGAGCAGAUGAGAGGUUGUAUUGUCUACAUGCUACAUGCUGAGGAGUUAUUGGAUAUAGGAGUAAAUGGAUUUUUGGCGAACAUUUUGAUGGUUAAGGAUGAUGGACAUCAUGAGCUGCAGGAUUUUCAGUUAUUACAAAGUAUGAGGAUGUAUUUGAGGCUUUAAAAGGAUCACUGCCAGCUAGAGGAGACGUUCUUGCGAUCGAGUUGGAGUCAAGGACGACACCGGUUUCACGAUUUUCUAUACCAAUUAGCGCCAGCAGAGAUGACCGAGUGGAAAGAGCAUAUGAAAGAUUCAUCAAACAAGGGUUUUACAAGACCAAGUACUUCAUCGUGAGGAGCAUCAUUAUUAUUUGUGAAGAAGAAAGAUGAGAGUUUCAGAAUUUGUAUCGACUACAGAGGUCUGAACAAAGUGACCAAAGGAUAAGUAUUGUUUCCGCGUAUUGAUAAGUUGUUGGAUUACCUACAGGAGGUACAUAGUUCUUGAAGGUUGACUUGCAUCAGAAUACCAUCAGAUUGUUAUACCUGAGGAGUAUCUACCGAUGUGGAUUUUUGUAUAUGUUAUGGAUAUUAUGAGUUAUAAUGUUACCCAUUAGCUGUGGGCGGGUCGGGGCGUUAUAAGUAGCAUUCGUGAAGCUUAUGAGUGACGUUUUUGAGAACACUUAGAUAAGUGCGCAAUUGUAUUCAUCGACUACAUCCUGAUUCAUUCUCGGAGCAGAGAAGAGCAUGCUGAGCAUUUACAGAUUGUGUUAGGUAAGCUUGGAAAUCAUCAGUUGUUGCUAGCUGAGUAAGUGUAGUUUCUGGCAGAAAAAAAAAAUAGGAAGCUGUAACUACAUUGUGUCUAUAUCAGACUUGUUAGAUGGUUAAAGCAGAACAUCAAUUAUUUAUGGGAUUACUACACCAUCUACUUCUUCCAGAUUGGAAAUGAGAUAUGUUGAUUGUUGGUUUCCUCAUUGGACUAUGGAAGUCAAGUUUCAUGAAGAAUAAUGUAUGAUCGAUCAUGGACCGUCUCGCUAAGUUAAACUCGAAAGGGCAUCCUUGGGUUUUGUCCUUAGCUCACGGAGAAAAAAAAAAUUGAGAAAAACAUCUACCGCUGGAAUAGUUCAUGUACAACAACAAUUAUCACUGGAGCAUUCAUAUAUCACUUUCGGAGGCUUUUUAUGGAAGAUCAUUCAAACACAUGCUAGACCCGGGGAAGCACUAGGACGUAUAGCAACCAAUGGUUUAAUGGACGUUGAAGCAAAUAGACAAUGCUCAAUAACCACCUUAAGGAAGUUGAUGGCUAAAAAAAAAAAAAAAAAAAAAAUGCAGUUAAUGCUCGAGAGACUUGGAAGUUUAAUUGGAUAAUUUAGUGUACCUGAAAAUGAAGACAUUUCAGAGAGGAUCUAAGACUCGAGAGCUAAGGAAGCUUAAGCCAAGAUAUAUGAGACUGUACUUUAUUGUGGAGCAGAUUGGAGUUGUGGCUUAUAGAUUGCAGUUAUCAGCAGAGUUGUCAAACUUUCACGAUGAGUUCCAUGUGUCAGUAUUGAGGAAGGUUGUGCGAGGGCCAAAACUUAUUUUACAGCAGCCACCAAGUGAUCUUUAAAAAAAAAAAAAUUGUCUACACUCAUCGAGUCUGUGGAGAUUACAAAUCAACAAGUGGAAGCAGUUCAGAAAUGAUGACCCUAUUGAUCAAAGUUCAAUAAGAAAGAGAUAAUAUCCAAGAGGAAACUUGAGAGACCGAGUCUAAGAUGAGGAUUGAAUAUUGAAAUUUUAUUUUGGAAAAUAAAACUAGUAGACGAGUAUAGAGACUUGAAUUCGAGGACGAAUUCCAAUUAAGUGGGGAAGAAUUGUAACGACCCGGUUCACCCAAACCGGUGUGAUUCAUUUGUUAAUUAAUUGUACCAGACCAUUUCUUAAACCGUGCUAUAUAUGCAUGUGUAUAUAUCUCCUUCUCAAACCUAAUAAAAAAACGCAUCGUGGGUUAGAGAGAGAGCCGUCACGUUUUAUCACCACCAGCGCCAAUCUCUAAGGAUGUGAUCGGUUCAUCACCGGAGUGUCAGCUUGCAUUGUCGCAUCACCGUGCCAGCACCAUCGGGACCGUUGCCGUGAUCACCGGAGUUUGAUCCAGCCACCAUUAUCAAGCCGUGUCCCACCACCGGAGUCAUCAUCUUCACUAUCAACACCGGAGCCGUCGUCAUGCCACUGUCAUAAUCUUGUUGCAAUAGAUCCAUCGAUAUUACCAUGCUUUUGUUCAAUAACGUGAACAGGCGGAGACUAAGAAAGAGAGUGAAACCAGAUCCGUCAGCGUCUCGACACUACCAACACCGAUCAACACCAUUAUGAACCGUGAGCCACCUGAGUCACAGCUUCCGUCGACGGAGUCCGAGAAGCUUAAGCCGUGAGGAUGCAAUCAUGCAACUUUAGUGUUACUUGUAUUUCAAGUAAUUAAUUCUAAAGUUGGACUGAGUCUUGUUGGACGAGAUCUUGGAUCAUUUUUGUGAUUCAUCUCCAAUUUUGGCUAAGGUGAGGGUCUUUUCCCGAGCUUCUCUUACACGGCUUAGGACCUCGAAUAAGUAUAAUUUAUUUCUAAUGUGUUUCCGUUUGCGUGAAAUUGAGUCUGUCAUUGUUUUGCUUAGUUUUAGGUUCUUUGCUUAACCGGAACUAGGGUGUUAGAUGAUUCAACAAUGUUUGUUCAUUUGUAAUUGAUAAUAUAUAUAUAUAUAUAUAUAUAUAUAUAUAGUAUAUUGAUGUGAUUUGGUUGAUAGCCGACUAUGGAUAUUUCGGCUGGAGACAGUACAUUGGGUGUGGUGUUUGCUGCGGCACAGCGUAGUCGACCUGUUGUGCCAAGGCGUGGAGGUCGAUAAAUCGUCUACGGGCGUGUGUUACCGAGCACAUAUUCGGUGGUGUUUUGGCCUGUUAGUGGGCAGCUUGUUUGAUCUCUGGGUACUUUAGGUACCGUGUUUUGCAACGUGUUAGGAUUAAAUUAUAUUUAUUCGGAGUGCUCUGUCCGGGUCCAUGGACUUCGGGUUUAGUAUCCCCAUACCUCACUGGGUAACUCACCUGUUACUCACCCCUCAUUUGCCCCCAUGCAGGUGAGACUGACGAGUAUAUGAUAUUUGGAUGGAUUGGUGCUACUGGGCUUUAUUUCCGAUUUUUAUUUGGGCUUAGGGUGAGUGGAGUCAUGUAUAUGGGUUAUUAUGCUAUGAGAUAUUGUUGGUGGCACGCUGUUCUCCAUAGGGGUGGGCACUUUACCCGAUAUCCGAAGUGGCACCCGAACCCGAUCCGAAAAACCCGAACCGA
Brassica napus (rape) is the source of this 5819-nucleotide long non-coding RNA. RefSeq lists it as uncharacterized. NCBI's taxonomy places the organism in Eukaryota, Viridiplantae, Streptophyta, Magnoliopsida, Brassicales, Brassicaceae. The record is from RefSeq and is a predicted model, not a curated record. The transcript is spliced from 3 exons.